RNAcentral lists this ribosomal RNA (797 nucleotides) under uncultured bacterium. RNAcentral describes it as "bacterial SSU rRNA". It matches the Rfam family "Bacterial small subunit ribosomal RNA", at positions 46 to 817 of the family's 1533-position model. The record is from RNAcentral.
GCUUAACACAUGCAAGUCGAACGAGAACGGAACCUUCGGGAUCUUAGUAAAGUGGCGCACGGGUGAGUAACGCGUAAGUAAUCUACCUUUGCAUUUGGAAUAACUACGGGAAGCUGUAGCUAAUACCAAAUACGUUCAUAUAGUUACGACUAUAUGAAGAAAGAUGGCCUCUUCUUGAAAGCUAUCGUGCAGAGAGGAGCUUGCGUACCAUUAGCUAGUUGGUAGGGUAAUGGCCUACCAAGGCAACGAUGGUUAGCGGGUCUGAGAGGAUGAUCCGCCACACUGGAACUGGAACACGGACCAGACUCCUACGGGAGGCAGCAGUGAGGAAUAUUGCGCAAUGGGGGAAACCCUGACGCAGCGACGCCGCGUGGAUGAUGAAGGCCUUAGGGUCGUAAAAUCCUGUCAGGUGGGAAGAAAUGUACGAGGGAACAACACCCCUUGUGCUUGACGGUACCACCAGAGGAAGCACCGGCUAACUCCGUGCCAGCAGCCGCGGUAAUACGGAGGGUGCAAACGUUGUUCGGAAUUACUGGGCGUAAAGCGCGCGUAGGCGGUUUGUUAAGUCAGAUGUGAAAGCCCAUGGCUCAACCAUGGACGUGCAUUUGAUACUGGCAGACUUGAGUACUGGAGGGGAUGGUGGAAUUCCCGGUGUAGAGGUGAAAUUCGUAGAUAUCGGGAGGAAUACCGGUGGCGAAGGCGACCAUCUGGCCAGAUACUGACGCUGAGGUGCGAAAAGCAUGGGGAGCAAACAGGAUUAGAUACCCUGGUAGUCCAUGCCGUAAACGAUGAGAACU